AAUAAGACAACAACGGCCGUUAAAUAAAAAAAUAUUUAAAAAGGCAGAAAAUCAGUUAAAAUAUAGCAAUUUAAACUCAAUUUUGAAAUGGUUUUUAUCCAAUCUAUUGAUUUAACAAGUCGCAUAACUUUUUAGGCUAAUAUUCAGUACCACAAUAACUAUGCAUCUAUCAACGGAUUAUUUGUAGGUGUAGGGCCACCUAUGCACCCUCUUCAAUUUAGAACGUAUGUAAAAGUAGUCCUACCCUGUAAAAUAUAGCACCUUUUAUGUCAUUGUUUAAUCUAGAGCUCAAAAUUUGAAAAAAAUGUCAAAAUAUUAGGAGGGUCGGCCUAUUCCAGGGCUUCUAGAGAAAAAUAAUGAGGGGUGUCACGGGGAAUGACUAUAUAGGUCUUGUAGAGGAGAAACAGGCGCUUCUUUUGCGCUAGGUAUCGAAGGGCGCUAUGUUCAAAAAUCUGAAACUAGAGCUCAAAAUUUGAAUAAAAUGUCAAAAAAUUAGGGGGGUCGGCCUAUUCUAGGACUUCCAGAGAAAAAUAAUGAGGGGUGUCACGGGGUAUGACUAUAUAUGUCUUGUAGAGGAGAAACAGGCGCUUCUUUUGCACUAAGUAUCGAAGGGCGCUAUGUUCAAAAAUCUGAAACUAGAGCUCAAAGUUCGAAAAAAAUGUCCAAAAAAUGGGGGUAGGGUCGGCCUAUUCCAGGAGUUCUAGAGAAAAAUAAUGAGGGGUGUCACGGGGUAUGACUAUAUAGGUCUUGUAGAAGAGAAACAGGCGUUUCUUUUGCGCUAGGUAUCGAAGGGCGCUAUGUUCAAAAAUCUGAAACUAGAGCUCAAAAUUUGAAAAAAAUGUCAAAAAAUUAGGGGGGUCGGCCUAUUCCAGGGCUUCUAGAGAAAAAUAAUGAGGGGUGUCACGGAGAAUGACUAUAUAGGUCUUGUAGAAGAGACACAGGCGCUUCUUUUGCGCUAGGUAUCGAAGGGCGCUAUGUUCAAAAAUCUGAAACUAGAGCUCAAAAUUUGAAAAAAAAUGUCAAAAAAUUAGGGGGGUUGGCCUAUUCUAGGACUUCUAGAAAAAAAUAAUGAGGGUGUCACGGGGAAUGACUAUAUAGGUCUUGUAGAGGAGAAACAGGCGCUUCUUUUGCGCUACGUAUAGAAGGGCGCUAUGUUCAACAAUCUGAAACUAGAGCUCAAAAUUUGAAAAAAAUGUCAAAAAAAUAGGGGGGUCGGCCUAUUCUAGGACUUCUAGAGAAAAAUAAUGAGGAGUGUCACGGGGUAUGACUAUAUAGGUCUUGUAGAGGAGAAACAGGCGCUUCUUUUGCGCUAGAUAUCGAAGGGCGCUAUGUUCAAAAAUCUGAAACUAGAGCUCAAAAUUUGAAAAAAUGUCAAAAAAUUAGGGGGGGUCGGCCUAUUCUAGGACUUCUAGAGAAAAAUAAUGAGGGGUGUCACGGGGUAUGACUAUAUAUGUCUUGUAGAGGAGAAACAGGCGCUUCUUUUGCACUAAGUAUCGAAGGGCGCUAUGUUCAAAAAUCUGAAACUAGAGCUCAAAGUUCGAAAAAAAUGUCCAAAAAUGGGGGUAGGGUCGGCCUAUUCCAGGAGUUCUAGAGAAAAAUAAUGAGGGUGUCACGGGGUAUGACUAUAUAGGUCUUGUAGAAGAGAAACAGGCGUUUCUUUUGCGCUAGGUAUCGAAGGGCGCUAUGUUCAAAAAUCUGAAACUAGAGCUCAAAAUUUGAAAAAAAAUGUCAAAAAAUUAGGGGGGUCGGCCUAUUCCAGGGCUUCUAGAGAAAAAUAAUGAGGGGUGUCACGGAGAAUGACUAUAUAGGUCUUGUAGAAGAGAAACAGGUGCUUCUUUUGCACUAUGUAUCGAAGGGCGCUAUGUUCAAAAAUCUGAAACUAGAGCUCAAAAUUCGAAAAAAAAUUUCCAAAAAAUGGGGGUAGGGUCGGCCUAUUCCACGAGUUCUAGAGAAAAAUAAUGAGGGGUGUCACGGGGUAUGACUAUAUAGGUCUUGUAGAAGAGAAACAGGCGCUUCUUUUGCGCUAGGUAUCGAAGGGCGCUAUGUUCAAAAAUCUGAAACUAGAGCUCAAAAUUCGAAAAAAAUAUCAAAAAAAUGGGGGAAGGGUUGGCCUAUUCCAGGAGUUCUAGAGAAAAAUAAUGAGGGAUGUCACGGGGUAUGACUAUAUAGGUCUUGUAGAAGAGAAACAGACGCUUCUUUUGCGCUAGGUAUCGAAGGGCGCUAUGUUCAAAAAUCUGAAACUAGAGCUCAAAAUUCGAAAAAAAUGUCAAAAAAUUAGGGGGUCGGCCUAUUCCAGGAGUUCUAGAGAAAAUAAUGAGGGGUGUCACGGAGAAUGACUAUAUAGGUCUUGUAGAAGAGACACAGGCGCUUCUUUUGCGCUAGGUAUCGAAGGGCGCUAUGUUCAAAAAUCUGAAACUAGAGCUCAAAAUUUGAAAAAAAAUGUCAAAAAAUUAGGGGGGUCGGCCUAUUCUAGGACUUCUAGAGAAAAAUAAUGAGGGGUGUCACGGGGAAUGACUAUAUAGGUCUUGUAGAGGAGAAACAGGCGCUUCUUUUGCGCUACGUAUAGAAGGGCGCUAUGUUCAACAAUCUGAAACUAGAGCUCAAAAUUUGAAAAAAAUGUCAAAAAAAAUAGGGGGGUCGGCCUAUUCUAGGACUUCUAGAGAAAAAUAAUGAGGGGUGUCACGGGGGAUGACUAUAUAGGUCUUGAAGAAGAGAAACAGGCGCUUCUUUUGCGCUAGGUAUCGAAGGGCGCUAUGUUCAAAAAUCUGAAACUAGAGCUCAAAAUUUGAAAAAAAUGUCAAAAAGUUAGGGGGGUCGGCCUAUUCUAGGACUUCUAGAGAAAAAUAAUGAGGAGUGUCACGGGGUAUGACUAUAUAGGUCUUGUAGAAGAGAAACAGGCGCUUCUUUUGCACUAGGUAUCGAAGGGCGCUAUGUUAAAAAAUCUGAAACUAGAGCUCAAAAUUCGAAAAAAAUAUUCAAAAAAUGGGGGUAGGGUCGGCCUAUUCCAGGAGUUCUAGAGAAAAAUAAUGAAGGGUGUCACGGGGUAUGACUAUAUAGGUCUUGUAGAGGAGAAACAGGCGCUUCUUUUGCGCUAGGUAUCGAAGGGCGCUAUGUUCAAAAAUCUGAAACUAGAGCUCAAGAUUCGAAAAAAAAUGUCAAAAAAUAGGGGGGUCGGCCUAAUCCAGGGCUUCUAGAGAAAAAUAAUGAGGGGUGUCACGGAGAAUGACUAUGUAGGUCUUGUAGAGGAGAAACAGGCGCUUCUUUUGCGCUACGUAUCGAAGGGCGCUAUGUUCAAAAAUCUGAAACUAGAGCUCAAAAAUUUGAAAAAAAUAUGUCAAAAAAUUUGGGGGUCGGCCUAUUCUAAGACUUCUAGAGAAAAAUAAUGAGGGGUGUCACGGGGUAUGACUAUAUAGGUCUUGUAGAAAAGAAACAGGCGUUUCUUUUGCACUAGGUAUCGAAGGGCGCUAUGUUCAAAAAUCUGAAACUAGAGCUCAAAAUUCGAAAAAAAUGUCCAAAAAAUGGGGGUAGGGUCGGCCUAUUCCAGGAGUUCUAGAGAAAAAUAAUGAGGGGUGUCACGGGAUAUGACUAUAUAGGUCUUGUAGAACAGAAACAGGCGCUUCUUUUGCGCUAGGUAUCGAAGGGCGCUAUGUUCAAAAAUCUGAAACUAGAGCUCAAAAUUUGAAAAAAAUGUCAAAAAAUUAGGGGGGUCGGCCUAUUCCAGGGCUUCUAGAGAAAAAUAAUGAGGGGUGUCACGGAGAAUGACUAUAUAGGUCUUGUAGAAGAGAAACAGGCGCUUCUUUUGCGCUAGGUAUCGAAGGGCGCUAUGUUCAAAAAUCUGAAACUAGAGCUCAAAAUUUGAAAAAAAUGUCAAAAAAUUAGGGGGGUCGGCCUAUUCUAGGACUUCUAGAGAAAAAUAAUGAGGGGUGUCACGGGAAUGACUAUAUAGGUCUUGUA
RNAcentral lists this long non-coding RNA (3954 nucleotides) under Mytilus galloprovincialis (Mediterranean mussel). Lineage: Eukaryota; Metazoa; Mollusca; Bivalvia; Mytilida; Mytilidae. The record is from RNAcentral.